Long non-coding RNA from Ceratitis capitata (Mediterranean fruit fly), 622 nucleotides. RefSeq lists it as uncharacterized. The transcript is spliced from 3 exons. The record is from RefSeq and is a predicted model, not a curated record. Lineage: Eukaryota; Metazoa; Arthropoda; Insecta; Diptera; Tephritidae.
AAUUUUAGUCGUUUGAUAUACGCCGUCUACGACGCGUCGCUAAUUUCAAAUUGGUCUUGUGUAUUUAAUUUUUUUUUUUUUAUUUAUAAAUUUGUGUGUCUUGAGAAUAUACGAUUCGGUAGACGUUUAUUUUGUAUGUAGACAUCAGUGCGAAUCUUGUGCAAACGCACUUAAUUUAUAACGGGAAAACAAAGGUGUUUUUAAAGAAAACAGAUAUGUUUUGGAGUCUAUGGGAUCUUACAUGAUAAUAUUCGCUUUCCAACGUAUUUUUGCUUAACCCAGAUUACAUCAAUGAUGGAAGUGUUCUGAAGAAAGUACAAUAAUGAAUAAAGUAAAAAUUAAUACAUGAAACAGUAAUCGCGUUAAUAAAUUGAUUACAUAUGCAUGCCCUUAAUCAUUACUACAAUAAAAAUAUAUUACCUUUGAAAUAAUUAAGUAAAUUGUACCUCGUAUUUUUGAAUUGAUUUUUUAACCCAAACGAACCGAAUUCUGGAGCUGAGUAUUUUUGAACUUAACCUCUAAUUAAACGUUAUCAAUGCAUCAACGAUUCUAAAAUGAAUAUAAACGCUAAAGAUUAAUCAACAUUAAAAUAAAUUUAUAAAUUAAUUUACAACAACAACAA